UACAGAGGGGGCAAGCGUUGUUCGGAAUUACUGGGCGUAAAGGGCGCGUAGGCGGCCUUCUAAGUCGAACGUGAAAUCCCCGGGCUCAACCCGGGAACUGCGUCCGAUACUGGAAGGCUUGAAUCCGGGAGAGGGAUGCGGAAUUCCAGGUGUAGCGGUGAAAUGCGUAGAUAUCUGGAGGGACACCGGUGGCGAAGGCGGCAUCCUGGACCGGCAUUGACGCUGAGGCGCGAAAGCCAGGGGAGCAAACGGG
This 253-nucleotide ribosomal RNA is filed under the name uncultured bacterium. RNAcentral describes it as "partial 16S ribosomal RNA". It matches the Rfam family "Bacterial small subunit ribosomal RNA", at positions 524 to 776 of the family's 1533-position model. The record is from RNAcentral.